This is a long non-coding RNA of Polypterus senegalus (gray bichir), 1662 nucleotides long. RefSeq lists it as uncharacterized. NCBI's taxonomy places the organism in Eukaryota, Metazoa, Chordata, Cladistia, Polypteriformes, Polypteridae. The record is from RefSeq and is a predicted model, not a curated record. The transcript has 5 exons.
AGCAUCGAUUUCAGGGAGAGACUCAGGGAUGUUGCGCGCAUCAUUUUAAUGAAUUAUAAAUGUGGGCACCAAAUUAACCACCGCAAUGCUAAUACGUUAUCGGGUGCCUAUCUGUCAGGAUUCACGAAAACAGUCGAUUUGUGCAGGUUCCGUAUAAAAGAAUAAAUAGGGUAUUAACAAACAUCGCGUGAAUAGGGUUAAUCAAACUGCUCAUUUUCAAUCUUCGCGUGAGAAUUUGGGUUAUAAUAUCGCUGGCUUUGGUCCUUAUAGAGUGUCAACAAAUCUGAUAUUAGCAGUUGUGCGCUUGGUUUCAAAUAUGUCGGUUUGCCUACCCAACUUGGCCCUUUUAAGCAGCACACUCAAUGUAGGAGUAACGCAACGAAGUAUGUCGCAGAAAGGUAAACCUACUAUCGUUGAAAUUAUUUUGUUCGCUGAUUUUUAAAUAGUGGAUUUGGAGCUUAUAGUUUCGCUAACGCCUGAUGUGAGGCUCGAACUCAGCAUCAUUUAAGACAGAUACCCUCAGCGCAGUCAGGAGUGGCCACACGUCACUUAUCUCAUUAGAAUCUUGAGGUCGCCUGAUCCUUAACAGCAAUCGUUGUCGGCUGCGCUCGGAUCAGGCGGACUUCGCCUGAUCCUUCUUGGAUCUCGGAGUUUAGCUAGAUGGUGUUAGAUAGAUCAGAGGUGGAAUGGGUGAUCAACAUACACCUAAACAAAGGAGAUGAUUUGUGUCGCUUGAAGGACCCUUGAGAGCAUGGAUAGCUUAUAUUACUUGAUACAAAACGCACAGUUCAAAUCAUACGGGGUUAUUUAAUUAAUUCCCCGGCUCUACUGUAUUUGGUCUGUCAUGAAAUAAUUAAAUAAGUCGGCGGGAUGACCUUUAAAUUCAAAUCAGCAAUGCCGGGUUUACAGGGUAUGAGAUGAUAAAAUGUCACCCUGCCUGCGACCAGCAGCUGGCUCUUUUGAGACAUCUUCAUGGAUGGCUUUGAUGUGAUUAAUUUUCUUAUUGACAUUCCAAAGAAAAUCCUUUUUUCCGGUGUCUGUCUGGUGCUUUUAACAAUACAGCUGUCAAUCCUAGUCUAUGAUAUCACACUUUUUAAAGUGGCAAAGAGCCUGGAAAAUGCAACUCAACAUUAUCUACACCUUGUGAUGGUAUCACAUGUUGUAAGCAUUUUUCUUUCAAUGUUGGCCACCUUAUAUGCUUUUCAGUCAGAUGACAGGAAAUUUAGGGUCAUUGCCCUCACACUGCACUGUCUGAACUUCAUUGUAUGGAUUGGAAGACUCUGGUUUGAAGCUAAUGUCAUACACCUCAAGCCUCGGAUGUAUUCAUUCACUUAAUGGUUUACUUGCUGAAAACAAAGAGUUGUCCAUCAGUAGCAGUCAGAUCAGUCCUGGUGAAGGGAGGCAUUGUACUUCUAAUAUUAGCAGAUCAAGUGUUCUGUACAAGCUUGGCGUUUGUAAUCAUUCUCAUCAAAGCAGCAGAUCUUGAAAACAGGCAGUUCCAGAUUAACCAGAAUUAAGCAACCACCUCCUCUUGGCAGAAGUAAUUUAUCAACCCCAAAUAAUAAAAUAUUUUAAUGUUGUUUUAUUUAUAUAUGCAUAUACAUAAUUUAUUAAUUUUAUAUGUAAAUAAAAAUCCUAAGGCCCCUGUGGGGUAUGUAAACA